This 77-nucleotide transfer RNA is filed under the name Desulfovibrio sp. RNAcentral's name for it is "tRNA-Pro". It matches the Rfam family "tRNA". From Rfam's summary of the family: Transfer RNA (tRNA) molecules are approximately 80 nucleotides in length. Their secondary structure includes four short double-helical elements and three loops (D, anti-codon, and T loops). RNAcentral also lists the same sequence under 3 other names. Lineage: Bacteria; Pseudomonadati; Thermodesulfobacteriota; Desulfovibrionia; Desulfovibrionales; Desulfovibrionaceae. The record is from RNAcentral.
CGGGAUGUAGCGCAGUCUGGGAGCGCACUUGAAUGGGGUUCAAGGGGUCGCUAGUUCAAAUCUAGUCAUCCCGACCA